This 253-nucleotide ribosomal RNA is filed under the name uncultured bacterium. Its description in RNAcentral is "partial 16S ribosomal RNA". It matches the Rfam family "Bacterial small subunit ribosomal RNA", at positions 524 to 776 of the family's 1533-position model. The record is from RNAcentral.
UACGAGGGGGGCAAAUGUUGUUCGGAAUCACUGGGCGUAAAGAGCUCGUAGGCGGUUUGUCGCGUCGUCUGUGAAAUUCUGCAACUCAAUUGUAGGCGUGCAGGCGAUACGGGCAGACUUGAGUACUACAGGGGAGACUGGAAUUCCUGGUGUAGCGGUGAAAUGCGCAGAUAUCAGGAGGAACACCGGUGGCGAAGGCGGCCCACUGGGCAGUCACUGACGCUGAGGCGCGAAAGCUCGGGGAGCGAACGGG